AAAUUUAGGAUACACACUUUCAAACCGAUGGCCUUCAAAGCCUUAGACAAGAGCACCGCCCUCUUAAUUUCU
RNAcentral lists this transfer RNA (72 nucleotides) under Cnemaspis nigridia (Black-spotted rock gecko). RNAcentral's name for it is "tRNA-Trp". Lineage: Eukaryota; Metazoa; Chordata; Lepidosauria; Squamata; Gekkonidae. The record is from RNAcentral.